GACGAACGCUGGCGGCGUGCUUAACACAUGCAAGUCGAACGGACAGGCCCUGCUUUUGUGGGGUGCUCGAGUGGCGAACGGGUGAGUAACACGUGAGUAACCUGCCCUUGACUUUGGGAUAACUUCAGGAAACUGGGGCUCAUACCGGAUAGGAGCUCCUGCUGCAUGGUGGGGGUUGGAAAGUUUCGGCGGUUGGGGAUGGACUCGCGGCUUAUCAGCUUGUUGGUGGGGUAGUGGCUUACCAAGGCUUUGACGGGUAGCCGGCCUGAGAGGGUGACCGGCCACAUUGGGACUGAGAUACGGCCCAGACUCCUACGGGAGGCAGCAGUGGGGAAUAUUGCACAAUGGGCGGAAGCCUGAUGCAGCAACGCCGCGUGCGGGAUGACGGCCUUCGGGUUGUAAACCGCUUUCGCCUGUGACGAAGCGUGAGUGACGGUAAUGGGUAAAGAAGCACCGGCUAACUACGUG
This 468-nucleotide ribosomal RNA is filed under the name uncultured bacterium. Its description in RNAcentral is "partial 16S ribosomal RNA". It matches the Rfam family "Bacterial small subunit ribosomal RNA", at positions 28 to 507 of the family's 1533-position model. The record is from RNAcentral.